CCUACGGGUGGCUGCAGUGAGGAAUAUUGGUCAAUGGGCGCUAGCCUGAACCAGCCAAGUAGCGUGAAGGAUGACUGCCCUAUGGGUUGUAAACUUCUUUUAUAGGGGAAUAAAGGGCCGUACGUGUAGUGCUUUGCAUGUACCUUAUGAAUAAGGAUCGGCUAACUCCGUGCCAGCAGCCGCGGUAAUACGGAGGAUGCGAGCGUUAUCCGGAUUUAUUGGGUUUAAAGGGUGCGUAGGCUGUCUUUUAAGUCAGCGGUGAAAGGUCGGGGCUCAACCCCGGACUCGCCGUUGAAACUGGCAGGCUUGAGUGUGAGGAAGGUAGGCGGAAUGCGUGGUGUAGCGGUGAAAUGCAUAGAUAUCACGCAGAACUCCGAUUGCGAAGGCAGCUUGCUGGGGCCGAACUGACGCUGAGGCACGAAAGCGUGGGUAUCGAACAGGAUUAGAUACCCUAGUAGUC
Molecule: ribosomal RNA, 460 nt
Filed under: uncultured bacterium
Lineage: Bacteria
Description: partial 16S ribosomal RNA
Rfam family: Bacterial small subunit ribosomal RNA
Source: RNAcentral